Molecule: long non-coding RNA, 1952 nt
Organism: Equus caballus (horse)
Lineage: Eukaryota; Metazoa; Chordata; Mammalia; Perissodactyla; Equidae
Source: RefSeq, a predicted model, not a curated record
GGUCCAGGGAGGGCGGGACAGGGCUCGUCCUUCCGCUUUAAACGGUGGGUGGUUGCUAGGAGCGCUCCCAACUGAAGCCGGGUGGGCAGAGUUCUCCUUUUGGGGAAGGUGUGAACCCGCAGCAAGACUGGCAACUGAGAGAACUUCUACCGAGAGGUGAGCUGUCUGAACUCGGAUUUGACAGGUCCCUCGCCGCGUCCCGUAAUCCAUUCCAGAGCACGUUGGCUCUUUUCUCCACGCUCUCCAUCCGCCUAGCUUAUUGCCGAUUUCCCGCUCUUCCGGCUCCGGUGACGUCUCCUUCGAGGUGCCGCGCAGAGCCCUCCAGGACUCGACUCCGAUGGAGACGGGGCGCGCUGCCCUGGGUCUGAGCGGGCGCCGUGGGCGAGUUCAUUCGCUUCAGCGCACCCCUCCCGUGGCUUGUUGGUUGAGGGAAGUUGGUGGGUUCUAGUCUGUAGGAAAGUCCUCAAGUAUCCGCCUGGUCAAGGAAGAGGAAAUGUGGACACAUAAAGAGACACCAGGGGCGUGCCCACACAGAGGAAAGGCCAUGUGAGGACACAGCAAGAAGGUGGCCAUCUGCAAGCCGAGAAGAGAGGCCUCAGAAGAACCCAAACCUGGCGACACCUUAAUCUUAGAUCUCUAGCCUUCAGAACUGUGAGAAAUAAAUUUCUGUUGUUUAAGCCAUCCAGUCUGGCAUUUUGUUAUGGCAGCCUGAGCUGACUAAGAUGGAGUUUAUGGUAAGCCCCAGUGGGAAAAUCACAGUGCAGUCCCUGGGACCCUGGAGCAAAGCCAUGCCAUCUGCAGCAGAGAAAUACACAUUUUAAGACCUGGCUACUAGUGUGAUCCUGGGCCUUGGAGGAGACAGAACACUUAACCAUAGGACAUCAAGUAUUCACAUGUCCAGAACUACCUGUUAUGGACUAGGUUCUGUUGGUUCAGAUGGACCCAGCAGCAUCUAUUAUAAAAUGAAAAUGGUACAUCUGGGAUGGAGCUCAAGCACAGCUGUGGCACUUGUAAGUGCCAGGACCAGGUAUUCCAGAGCCCCAUGUCACCCACCACAGCUGCACCAACACCAUGACCACUGAAUGAGGAGGGCUAAAGCCUGAGCUUGGUUUAUGGAUGAGUUAGCUUAGUAUGUGGGUGCAAGCCAGAUGGUGGCUGCAUUAUAGUCACAUUCUUGAGAGACUUUGAAAAACGGCAGAGAGGGAAAAUCUCAAUGAGUAGAGUUGCAAUCAUUGUCCCUGGUCAUCUGCUUUGUGUAUAAGGAGAAGCAGACUGAAGUAAGAAUAUGUAUAGAUUCUUGGGUAGAUAUCAAUGGCCUGGCCCUUUGGUAGGGAGCCUGGAAGGAAAAGGACUGGAAGAUCAAAGACAAGGAGUUCUGGGGUAGAGUCAUGUAGAUGGAUGUACAGGAGUGGGCAUGAUGUGAAGAUUUUUGUAUCACAUCUUGCAUCCACCAGGGAAGAGGCACUAAACAAUCGACUAGACAAAAUGACUCAUUCAGUUGUCAUUACCAGCUAAUAAUUAGCCACCUUGGAACCAGCAUGAUGGGCACCGUUGUGGGUUGUCUUUUAUCCCCCCAAAUUUCAUAUGUUGAAGUCUUAACCCCAAUACUUCAAAAUGUAACCUUAUUUGGAAAGAGGGUUGUUGCAGGUAUAAUUAGUUAAGAUGACAUCAUACUGGAGUAGGGUGCCCUAAUUCAAAAUGACUGGUGUCCUUUUAAGCAGACAGCCGUGUGAAUACAGAGAUACAUAGAGAGAAUGCCAUGUGAAGAUAAAAAUAUGGUAAUGCAGCAGAAGCCAAGGAAUGCCAAAGAUUACCAGUAAACCACCAGAAGCUAGGGGAGGUGCAUGGAAUAGGUUUUCCUUACAGCCCUCCGAAGGAACCAAUCUUGAUCUUGAUCUCAGACUUCUAGCCUGCAGAACUGUGAGACAAUAAAUUUCUGUUGUUUAAAUUGC